Molecule: ribosomal RNA, 448 nt
Filed under: uncultured bacterium
Lineage: Bacteria
Description: partial 16S ribosomal RNA
Rfam family: Bacterial small subunit ribosomal RNA
Source: RNAcentral
AAGCCAGACUCCUACGGGAGGCAGCAGUGGGGGAUAUUGCACAAUGGGGGGAACCCUGAUGCAGCGACGCCGCGUGGGUGAAGGAGUAUUUCGGUCUGUAAAUCCCUAUCGGCAGGGAAGAAGGAAGACGGUACCUGACUAAGAAGCCCCGGCUAACUACGUGCCAGCAGCCGCGGUAAUACGUAGGGGGCGAGCGUUAUCCGGAUUCACUGGGGGUAAAGGGAGCGUAGACGGCCAAGCAAGCCAGGGGUGAAAGCCCGGGGCCCAACCCCGGGACUGCCCUUGGAACUGCAUGGCUGGAGUGCGGGAGGGGCAGGCGGAAUUCCUGGUGUAGCGGUGAAAUGCGUAGAUAUCAGGAGGAACACCGGCGGCGAAGGCGGCCUGCUGGACCGCGACUGACGUUGAGGCUCGAAAGCGUGGGGAGCGAACAGGAUUAGAUACCCUCGUA